CCUACGGGUGGCAGCAGUGGGGAAUAUUGCACAAUGGGGGGAACCCUGAUGCAGCGACGCCGCGUGAGUGAAGAAGUAUUUCGGUAUGUAAAGCUCUAUCAGCAGGGAAGAAAAUGACGGUACCUGACUAAGAAGCCCCGGCUAACUACGUGCCAGCAGCCGCGGUAAUACGUAGGGGGCAAGCGUUAUCCGGAUUUACUGGGUGUAAAGGGAGCGCAGACGGCUGUGCAAGUCUGGAGUGAAAGUCGGGGGCCCAACCCCCGGACUGCUCUGGAAACUGGAAAGCUGGAGUGCAGGAGAGGUAAGCGGAAUGCCUAGUGUAGCGGUGAAAUGCGUAGAUAUUAGGAGGAACACCAGUGGCGAAGGCGACCUGCUAGAACAUAACUGACGCUGAUGCGCGAAAGCGUGGGGAGCAAACAGGAUUAGAUACCCGUGUAGUC
RNAcentral lists this ribosomal RNA (440 nucleotides) under uncultured bacterium. RNAcentral's name for it is "partial 16S ribosomal RNA". It matches the Rfam family "Bacterial small subunit ribosomal RNA", at positions 338 to 795 of the family's 1533-position model. The record is from RNAcentral.